Molecule: unclassified non-coding RNA, 337 nt
Filed under: soil metagenome
Description: partial contains 5.8S ribosomal RNA, internal transcribed spacer 2, and large subunit ribosomal RNA
Rfam family: 5.8S ribosomal RNA (bases 1-120)
Source: RNAcentral
GAUGAAGAACGCAGCGAAAUGCGAUAAGUAGUGUGAAUUGCAGAAUUCAGUGAAUCAUCGAAUCUUUGAACGCACAUUGCGCCCCCUGGUAUUCCGGAGGGCAUGUCUGUCCGAGCGUCAUUAGUCCAAUCUCAAGCCCGGCUUGUCGUUGGGUCGCACCGCCCGGGGCGGUGGACCCGAAAUAUAAUGACGGGGUCUAGCGGACCGUGGGCGCAGCGAGCUUUUACAGCACGCGUCCCGGCGUCAUCUAGACGCGUCUCCAACCAUACUCUCUGUAGGUUGACCUCGGAUCAGACAGGAUUACCCGCUGAACUUAAGCAUAUCAAUAAGCGGAGGA